RNAcentral lists this long non-coding RNA (241 nucleotides) under Trifolium pratense (red clover). RNAcentral describes it as "long non-coding RNA (TPRA_LNC012167)". Lineage: Eukaryota; Viridiplantae; Streptophyta; Magnoliopsida; Fabales; Fabaceae. The record is from RNAcentral.
UUUGUAUCUGAAGGACCUCUUUCGCGUCAGUGUUGACUGUUUGGAGGCGGACUACGAACUGAGACUUAUCUGCCUAGAUUUUCUUUCUAUCGUUGCCCCGUUAAUUUUUUACUUGCGUGUUUGGAAUGAUUUUCUUUUUGCUGUUUGGAGGUGGACUGCGAUCACUUUUGAUUAAAGAUCGAGAGUUAGAGUCUAAGGGCAUCUUUAUGGAUCGGGCUGAUGUCUUCCUUGGUAGUCUAGA